AGGAAACGUGCCUGAAGAUAAAGGGCCACUUUGAUAGAGUGGAUCAUGGAGACUAAAACCCUCCCGCUUCCUU
Molecule: transfer RNA, 73 nt
Filed under: Enchelynassa canina
Lineage: Eukaryota; Metazoa; Chordata; Actinopteri; Anguilliformes; Muraenidae
Description: tRNA-Ile
Source: RNAcentral